This 514-nucleotide ribosomal RNA is filed under the name Enterococcus faecalis. RNAcentral's name for it is "bacterial SSU rRNA". It matches the Rfam family "Bacterial small subunit ribosomal RNA", at positions 1 to 492 of the family's 1533-position model. RNAcentral also lists the same sequence under 1 other name. Lineage: Bacteria; Bacillati; Bacillota; Bacilli; Lactobacillales; Enterococcaceae. The record is from RNAcentral.
UUAGAGUUUUAACUGGCUCAGGACGAACGCUGGCGGCGUGCCUAAUACAUGCAAGUCGAACGCUUCUUUCCUCCCGAGUGCUUGCACUCAAUUGGAAAGAGGAGUGGCGGACGGGUGAGUAACACGUGGGUAACCUACCCAUCAGAGGGGGAUAACACUUGGAAACAGGUGCUAAUACCGCAUAACAGUUUAUGCCGCAUGGCAUAAGAGUGAAAGGCGCUUUCGGGUGUCGCUGAUGGAUGGACCCGCGGUGCAUUAGCUAGUUGGUGAGGUAACGGCUCACCAAGGCCACGAUGCAUAGCCGACCUGAGAGGGUGAUCGGCCACACUGGGACUGAGACACGGCCCAGACUCCUACGGGAGGCAGCAGUAGGGAAUCUUCGGCAAUGGACGAAAGUCUGACCGAGCAACCGCCGCGUGAGUGAAGAAGGUUUUCGGAUCGUAAAACCUCUGUUGUUAGAGAAGAAUCAAGGACCGUUAGUAACUGAACGUCCCCCUGACGGUUCACGAAAGCC